Molecule: ribosomal RNA, 253 nt
Filed under: uncultured bacterium
Lineage: Bacteria
Description: partial 16S ribosomal RNA
Rfam family: Bacterial small subunit ribosomal RNA
Source: RNAcentral
UACGAAGGGGGCUAGCGUUGCUCGGAAUCACUGGGCGUAAAGCGCACGUAGGCGGGUCCUUAAGUCGGGGGUGAAAUCCCGGAGCUCAACUCCGGAACUGCCUUCGAUACUGGGGACCUCGAGUCCGGGAGAGGUGAGUGGAACUGCGAGUGUAGAGGUGAAAUUCGUAGAUAUUCGCAAGAACACCAGUGGCGAAGGCGGCUCACUGGCCCGGUACUGACGCUGAGGUGCGAAAGCGUGGGGAGCAAACAGG